This 391-nucleotide ribosomal RNA is filed under the name uncultured bacterium. RNAcentral's name for it is "bacterial SSU rRNA". It matches the Rfam family "Bacterial small subunit ribosomal RNA", at positions 29 to 410 of the family's 1533-position model. The record is from RNAcentral.
AACGAACGCUGGCGGCGCGCCUAAUACAUGCAAGUCGAGCGAGAAGACGUAGCAAUACGUCUGUAAAGCGGCGAACGGGUGAGGAAUACAUGGGUAACCUACCCUCGAGUGGGGAAUAACUAGCCGAAAGGUUAGCUAAUACCGCGUACGCUCCUUGGACUUCGGUUCAGGGAGGAAAGCGAUACCGCGGGUAUCGCGCUCUUGGAUGGGCUCAUGUCCUAUCAGCUUGUUGGUGAGGUAACGGCUCACCAAGGCUUCGACGGGUAGCUGGUCUGAGAGGACGAUCAGCCACACUGGCACUGCGACACGGGCCAGACUCCUACGGGAGGCAGCAGUAAGGAAUAUUGCGCAAUGGGCGAAAGCCUGACGCAGCGACGCCGCGUGGGGGAUG